AGUCGAGCGGAUGAGAAGAGCUUGCUCUUCGAUUCAGCGGCGGACGGGUGAGUAAUGCCUAGGAAUCUGCCUGAUAGUGGGGGACAACGUUUCGAAAGGAACGCUAAUACCGCAUACGUCCUACGGGAGAAAGCAGGGGACCUUCGGGCCUUGCGCUAUCAGAUGAGCCUAGGUCGGAUUAGCUAGUUGGUGGGGUAAUGGCUCACCAAGGCGACGAUCCGUAACUGGUCUGAGAGGAUGAUCAGUCACACUGGAACUGAGACACGGUCCAGACUCCUACGGGAGGCAGCAGUGGGGAAUAUUGGACAAUGGGCGAAAGCCUGAUCCAGCCAUGCCGCGUGUGUGAAGAAGGUCUUCGGAUUGUAAAGCACUUUAAGUUGGGAGGAAGGGCAUUAACCUAAUACGUUAGUGUUUUGACGUUACCGACAGAAUAAGCACCGGCUAACUCUGUGCCAGCAGCCGCGGUAAUACAGAGGGUGCAAGCGUUAAUCGGAAUUACUGGGCGUAAAGCGCGCGUAGGUGGUUUGUUAAGUUGAAUGUGAAAGCCCCGGGCUCAACCUGGGAACUGCAUCCAAAACUGGCAAGCUAGAGUACGGUAGAGGGUGGUGGAAUUUCCUGUGUAGCGGUGAAAUGCGUANAUAU
Molecule: ribosomal RNA, 642 nt
Filed under: Pseudomonas fluorescens
Lineage: Bacteria; Pseudomonadati; Pseudomonadota; Gammaproteobacteria; Pseudomonadales; Pseudomonadaceae
Description: bacterial SSU rRNA
Rfam family: Bacterial small subunit ribosomal RNA
Source: RNAcentral